Long non-coding RNA from Diorhabda sublineata, 1715 nucleotides. RefSeq lists it as uncharacterized. NCBI's taxonomy places the organism in Eukaryota, Metazoa, Arthropoda, Insecta, Coleoptera, Chrysomelidae. The record is from RefSeq and is a predicted model, not a curated record. The transcript has 3 exons.
AGUUGUGUGUCAGUUGUCGAAACGAGAGGUUGUAAGGAUAAUCUAAAAUAAUUAUGAGUUUCGAGAAAGAGCAAGAAAUAUUGUAAAAACUUUGGGUAGAUUUUAUGUCUGAUGAGGAAGACGACUCAUUUCAAGCUAGUUCUUCGGACGAAUACAAUCCUAACGAAGAUCAGGAAAGUGAAUGCAGUAGUUCAGACAUCGAUACUCCUGUUAUGCGAAAAAGUGCAUUGAAUAAUACAAAACGGAGUGUUUUAGAAAGUAAUUAUUUUAUUUCAGUUACGUAUUACAGAAAUCUUCGGUUAUGAGAUAAUUGCAAGAAACUAAAUCACAUAGUUUGCCGGACAUAUCUUCACAUGAAAAGAAUGAACCAAGUGCAUCUUCAAAACGACAAAAAAGUUCAAUUCCUAGGCAGACAAAGAAAAUACACUUGCAAGAACCAGUUGAUUUGCCUGUGCCUUCAAACACAAACAUUUUGCCCGCGAUGUAAUUAGAUUCAGAAGUCCUUCUGUGGAUACAAUUUCUGAAAUAUUAGAAUAAGUGCAGGUUGAAAACACGUGAAGAGAAGUGGAUGGUGCUUCACUGAAAAAUAUCAUGUAUACUAUUACUAGGAAGGACGAAGGAAUCAAAGCUGAACUGUAUGAGAUAUUUGUGGGAAAAGAACCUUAUGACUUUUACAAAUUGUUUGUAGAGGACGAAAUCAUCGAUAUAAUAGUGAUUGAAACAAACAGGUACGCUUAUCAAUUGCAGUAAGAUACUACGCACCAAAAAUCCCGAUUAAGUCGCUGGACUGACACAAAUCGUAAAGCAAUUGAGCUCUUCAUAGCUGUGUUGCUUUGGAUGGGAUUGUGCCGCUUACUAAAGUUGUAUGAUUAUUGGAAUACCCAGAAUAUAUACAGUAUUUCUAUAAACAAGUACAUGUCGAGAAAUCGGUUCGAACUAUUACUUCGAGUAGUUCAUUUUAGUAACAACCAAGCAACUGUUUAGUCCACUGACAGAUUACAAAAAAUUAUACCACUAAUAAAUAUGCUGAGAGGCAUAUUCCAGUAUGUUCUUUUACCAAGAGAAAAUGUGUGUAUUGACGAAAGUGUAGUACCGUUUAGAGGCCGCUUAUCCUUUCGUCAAUACAUAAAGAAUAAACGACACAAAUUCGGUAUAAAACUAUAUAAAAUCUGUGUAGAGAAGGGAUAUACUUAUGAUCUUGAUGUAUACUACGGUAAAUCUAGUAAAACGUUUACUGGCUAUGAAUCAGCAAAAAUUAUCAUGAAACUUAUGAAACAAUUAUUGGAUAAAGGUCGAACACUGUAUGUGGACAAUUAUUAUACAAGUGUUGCUCUGGCACGAAAGUUAUUAGAAAGAGAUACCCACUUGGUUGAAACUCUUCGAAAUAGUAGAAAAUUGAAUCCAACAGAUGUAACACAAAAAAAAACUUUAUAAAAAUAAAGUCGGUGCGUUAUGUGUUAUAAUAAACUUUCUUUGGAAUUCACAGCGUCGAUAGCCAGAAACAAAGCUACAAGAAGUACUUGGAAAUGUGAGUCAUGUGAUAAAAAUUACUGCGUAGAGUGUUGUUUUGAUAAACAUUAUAGUUCAAUACUUUAAAAUCUCAUUAAUUUGAUUUUUUGUUCUUACUUACAUGACUUUCUAUAAUUUUACAUAGAUUUAUUUUAGUUUUUCUGUUUUUCUUCUUACUUCCGAAAUAAAUAUUUUUUUCUAUGUAA